CUACAUAAAGCUAUCAUACUGCUACAAGGAAAUUUUUCAAGAAAAAGUUUCAAAAGAUCAAACAAGUUUCAAAAGGUAUUUUCUUAUCAUUUCCACUUCUGUUUCCCUUCCAUUAUGUUGCUGUUACUACAAAAAUACAGUUUUGUACCUUUUUUUGUAUUCACUGGUUUAGUUUGUCUUGAGUUCGUAUGAAUCAUACUCAGUUCAGACCUGAGUGUCGAACUGCUCUAAAUCUGGUGCGUGUCGAUUUGGAAUUUCCGUCGAAAUUCCAUUUUGACGGAUGAACUUGUUAGAGUAGGACCGCAAUUCCGUUAGCCUUCAUCCUCCAUUUUUGCACCGUGUUCUGGUUCAAAUGGCUAGAUUAGAAGGAACUUGUGUUCCAUGUGAGGAGAAACGGCCAGGUUCGUGUGGUUCUUGGCCGAUUUCGUGAGAAGGGAGGCCGGAAUCACGGUGAAGAGGUGGAGGAGGACGAAAAUUGGAGAGGCAGCACCCACAUUAAUACAAAUCUUCUCUCUCAAAUUUCGGAAGAAAAAAAGAAAACGAACAAAAAAUCUUCUUUAUCUUUCUCAUGUUUAGG
This 577-nucleotide long non-coding RNA is filed under the name Lathyrus oleraceus (garden pea). Its description in RNAcentral is "Pisum sativum (pea) long non-coding RNA (PSAT_LNC034398)". Lineage: Eukaryota; Viridiplantae; Streptophyta; Magnoliopsida; Fabales; Fabaceae. The record is from RNAcentral.